AGAAAAUAUACACCAAUUGAAAGUAUUGUGUUCGACGUCUGUUUGAAAAAAUAUCUUCUUUAAAAGAGAUGAAUUUAACCUGAUAUGAGUUCUACCUCUUAAAGAUGUAUCCCUUUCACACUUAAAUUUCCAUAUAUUAGAACGAUAUAUAUACUAGCUCUCAUAUCAUAUAGACAUAUUCCAUCGGCAUACUCUUACUCUUCGUAG
This 207-nucleotide small RNA is filed under the name Arabidopsis thaliana (thale cress). RNAcentral describes it as "ATSL258190". The record is from RNAcentral. Lineage: Eukaryota; Viridiplantae; Streptophyta; Magnoliopsida; Brassicales; Brassicaceae.